GGAUCAGGUGGUGUAAUCUACACUAUCAACAUGUCUAGGAUCAGGUGUUGUAAUCUACACCAUCAACAUGUCUAGGAUCAGGUGUUGUAAUCUACACCAUCAACAUGUCUAGGAUCAGGUGGUGAUGUAAUCUACACUAUCAACAUGUCUAGGAUCAGGUGGUGAUGUAAUCUACACUAUCAACAUGUCUAGGAUCAGGUGGUGUAAUCUACACUAUCAACAUGUCUAGGAUCAGGUGGUGUAAUCUACACCAUCAACAUGUCUAGGAUCAGGUGGUGUAAUCUACACUAUCAACAUGUCUAGGAUCAGGUGGUGAUGUAAUCUACACCAUCAACAUGUCUAGGAUCAGGUGGUGUAAUCUACACUAUCAACAUGUCUAGGAUCAGGUGGUGUAAUCUAAACCAUCAACAUGUCUAGGAUCAGGUGGUGUAAUCUACACUAUCAACAUGUCUAGGAUCAGGUGGUGAUGUAAUCUAAACCAUCAACAUGUCUAGGAUCAGGUGGUGGUGUAAUCUAAACCAUCAACAUGUCUAGGAUCAGGUGAUGUAAUCUACACUAUCAACAUGUCUAGGAUCAGGUGGUGAUGUAAUCUACACCAUCAACAUGUCUAGGAUCAGGUGGUGGUGUAAUCUACACCUAUCAACAUGUCUAGGAUCAGGUGGUGAUGUAAUCUACACUAUCAACAUGUCUAGGAUCAGGUGUUGUAAUCUAAACCAUCAACAUGUCUAGGAUCAGGUGGUGUAAUCUACACCAUCAACAUGUCUAGGAUCAGGUGGUGUAAUCUACACUAUCAACAUGUCUAGGAUCAGGUGGUGGUGUAAUCUACACUAUCAACAUGUCUAGGAUCAGGUGGUGAUGUAAUCUACACUAUCAACAUGUCUAGGAUCAGGUGGUGAUGUAAUCUACACUAUCAACAUGUCUAGGAUCAGGUGGUGGUGUAAUCUACACUAUCAACAUGUCUAGGAUCAGGUGGUGGUGUAAUCUACACUAUCAACAUGUCUAGGAUCAGGUGGUGAUGUAAUCUACACUAUCAACAUGUCUAGGAUCAGGUGGUGGUGUAAUCUACACUAUCAACAUGUCUAGGAUCAGGUGGUGAUGUAAUCUACACCAUCAACAUGUCUAGGAUCAGGUGGUGUUGUAAUCUACACUAUCAACAUGUCUAGGAUCAGGUGUUGUAAUCUACACUAUCAACAUGUCUAGGAUCAGGUGGUGUAGUAAUCUACACUAUCAACAUGUCUAGGAUCAGGUGGUGAUGUAAUCUACACCAUCAACAUGUCUAGGAUCAGGUGUUGUAAUCUACACCAUCAACAUGUCUAGGAUCAGGUGGUGAUGUAAUCUACACUAUCAACAUGUCUAGGAUCAGGUGUUGUAAUCUACACUAUCAACAUGUCUAGGAUCAGGUGAUGUAAUCUACACCAUCAACAUGUCUAGGAUCAGGUGGUGUUGUAAUCUACACUAUCAACAUGUCUAGGAUCAGGUGGUGUAAUCUACACCAUCAACAUGUCUAGGAUCAGGUGAUGUAAUCUACACUAUCAACAUGUCUAGGAUCAGGUGGUGAUGUAAUCUACACUAUCAACAUGUCUAGGAUCAGGUGUUGUAAUCUACACUAUCAACAUGUCUAGGAUCAGGUGAUGUAAUCUACACCAUCAACAUGUCUAGGAUCAGGUGGUGUUGUAAUCUACACUAUCAACAUGUCUAGGAUCAGGUGGUGUAAUCUACACCAUCAACAUGUCUAGGAUCAGGUGAUGUAAUCUACACUAUCAACAUGUCUAGGAUCAGGUGGUGAUGUAAUCUACACUAUCAACAUGUCUAGGAUCAGGUGGUGAUGUAAUCUACACUAUCAACAUGUCUAGGAUCAGGUGGUGGUGUAAUCUACACUAUCAACAUGUCUAGGAUCAGGUGGUGUAAUCUACACUAUCAACAUGUCUAGGAUCAGGUGGUGUAAUCUACACUAUCAACAUGUCUAGG
Long non-coding RNA from Oncorhynchus keta (chum salmon), 1968 nucleotides. RefSeq lists it as uncharacterized. The transcript has 13 exons. The record is from RefSeq and is a predicted model, not a curated record. Lineage: Eukaryota; Metazoa; Chordata; Actinopteri; Salmoniformes; Salmonidae.